CCUACGGGUGGCAGCAGUGGGGGAUAUUGCACAAUGGGGGGAACCCUGAUGCAGCGACGCCGCGUGGGUGAAGAAGCGCCUCGGCGCGUAAAGCCCUGUCAGCAGGGAAGAAAAUGACGGUACCUGAAGAAGAAGCCCCGGCUAACUACGUGCCAGCAGCCGCGGUAAUACGUAGGGGGCAAGCGUUAUCCGGAUUUACUGGGUGUAAAGGGGGCGCAGACGGCGAUGCAAGCCAGGAGUGAAAGGCCGGGGCUCAACCCCGGGACUGCUUUGGAAACUGCGUGGCUGGAGUGCAGGAGGGGCAGGUGGAAUUCCUGGUGUAGCGGUGAAAUGCGUAGAUAUCAGGAGGAACACCGGUGGCGAAGGCGGCCUGCUGGACUGCAACUGACGUUGAGGCCCGAAAGCGUGGGGAGCAAACAGGAUUAGAUACCCCAGUAGUC
RNAcentral lists this ribosomal RNA (440 nucleotides) under uncultured bacterium. RNAcentral's name for it is "partial 16S ribosomal RNA". It matches the Rfam family "Bacterial small subunit ribosomal RNA", at positions 338 to 795 of the family's 1533-position model. The record is from RNAcentral.